UAAAGAUUAGAAUCAGAGAACUGGUUUGUUUAUUAUUGUUAGAGAUAAAAGGUGACUUUCAGAAAGAAAAUAGGCAGUGCAAAGGUAGUGAGGGCCAAAGAAACAUCAGGGUUCCUCAUGCUUUGAGAAAAUACAAUGUUCUGCAGGGAUCCUGACAUUUAAAUAAGCAAUUUCAAGCAACUUUAAUGUGCUUGGCUUGCAGAUUGCCGGAGGCUGGAAAGUAAGACAAAUAACAGCUCACCUGCCUGGGUUAUUGGAGCAACAAGAAACUUUCAGAGCAAUCCUCCAUUUGCCAGCACUGAACAUAUUGCCUAGCAGACAGUCGGCAUUUCAUGUCCCUUUUAUGUACGGACGGAAGGAGAGAAUGAAGGAAGUUUGGAAGAAUGGAAGAAAAGAGAAAAGAGAGGGAGGAGGAUAGAAGGAAGACACUGAAUUUUGGAAAUAUAAAUCAGUGACUUUAAUAUCGAAUCUGAUAAAAUUUUAUAGCAGGUUAUUAAAUAUGUUUCCAAAUAUUUAAAAAUAGAAAUGAUAAUCAUUGAAAUACAACAUUAAUUUAUUAAAAUAAAUCAGACUAUGCUGACAUCAUUUACUUUUUUGAUAGGAUUAAUAGUUUUAUAAACCUACAGUGUAAGUACAG
Molecule: long non-coding RNA, 637 nt
Filed under: Rhinopithecus bieti (black snub-nosed monkey)
Lineage: Eukaryota; Metazoa; Chordata; Mammalia; Primates; Cercopithecidae
Description: lncRNA (ENSRBIG00000046631.1)
Source: RNAcentral